Molecule: long non-coding RNA, 425 nt
Organism: Onychostoma macrolepis
Lineage: Eukaryota; Metazoa; Chordata; Actinopteri; Cypriniformes; Cyprinidae
Exons: 3
Source: RefSeq, a predicted model, not a curated record
CAUCAAUCAAGGUCGUUGAUGGAUCCGUCGCUGACAAACGGAGAGUACGCUUGUUUAGUCUGUGGCGAAGACCAAGCCGUAACGUUACAUCUGAAGAACUGGUUGCCUCCUGGGUAUAAAUAUCACUUCUGCACUCAUCGUUUAUGCACUACACAAGGCGAAUCACAAUUGGACCACACAAGUUUUGAAGCAUCACUAAGAAUUGCAUUGACAGAGGUUUGUGAUGUAAAGGAAUGGGUGAAAAGCUUAGCGAGUCAUCAGGAGUGAGUUGGAGAAUGGCAGUUACAAAACCAAAUAAGGGACAGCGUGUGCUUUAUAAGGUAAUGUCAAAUCAGUUCAUUCAGCUUUACACUACAUAAGUGUGGGACAAUUAGUUACACUGAAAAUGACUUUGCAGUAAAUUGUACUGUGCAAAAGGCACAUUU